Molecule: ribosomal RNA, 459 nt
Filed under: uncultured bacterium
Lineage: Bacteria
Description: partial 16S ribosomal RNA
Rfam family: Bacterial small subunit ribosomal RNA
Source: RNAcentral
AACGAACGCUGGCGGCAGGCCUAACACAUGCAAGUCGAACGAGAAGCCACCUUCGGGUGGUGGAAAGUGGCAGACGGGUGAGUAACGCGUGGGAACGUGCCUUUCGGUUCGGGAUAACCCAGGGAAACUUGGGCUAAUACCGGAUACGCCCUCCGGGGGAAAGAUUCAUUGCCGAAAGGUUGGCCCGCGUCGGAUUAGCUAGUUAGUGGGGUAAUAGCCUACCAAGGCGACGAUCCGUAGCUGGUCUGAGAGGAUGACCAGCCACACUGGGACUGAGACACGGCCCAGACUCCUACGGGAGGCAGCAGUGGGUAAUAUUGGACAAUGGGCGAAAGCCUGAUCCAGCCAUGCCGCGUGGGUGAAGAAGGCCUUAGGGUUGUAAAUCCCUUUCAGCGGGGACGAUAAUGACGGUACCCGCAGAAGAAGUCCCGGCUAACUCCGUGCCAGCCGCCGCAGUAA